UACGUAGGUGGCAAGCGUUGUCCGGAAUUAUUGGGCGUAAAGCGCGCGCAGGCGGUCCUUUAAGUCUGAUGUGAAAGCCCACGGCUCAACCGUGGAGGGUCAUUGGAAACUGGGGGACUGAGUGCAGAAGAGGAAAGCGGAAUUCCACGUGUAGCGGUGAAAUGCGCAGAUAUCGGGAAGAACACCCGUGGCGAAGGCGGCUCUCUGGGACGGUACUGACGCUGAGACGCGAAAGCGUGGGGAGCGAACAGG
This 252-nucleotide ribosomal RNA is filed under the name uncultured bacterium. Its description in RNAcentral is "partial 16S ribosomal RNA". It matches the Rfam family "Bacterial small subunit ribosomal RNA", at positions 524 to 776 of the family's 1533-position model. The record is from RNAcentral.